AACGAACGCUGGCGGCAUGCCUAACACAUGCAAGUCGAACGAUACCUUCGGGUCUAGUGGCGCACGGGUGCGUAACGCGUGGGAACCUGCCCUUAGGUUCGGAAUAACUCCCCGAAAGGGGUGCUAAUACCGGAUAAUGUCCUCGGACCAAAGAUUUAUCGCCUUUGGAUGGGCCCGCGCUGGAUUCGCUAGUUGGUAGGUUAAAAGCCUACCAAGGCCACGAUCCAUAGCUGGUCUGAGAGGAUGAUCAGCCACACUGGGACUGAGACACGGCCCAGACUCGUACGGGAGGCAGCAGAGGGGAAUAAUGGACAAUGGGCGAAAGCCUGAUCCAGCAAUGCCGCGUGAGUGAUGAAGGCCUUAGGGUUGUAAAGCUCUUUUACCCGGGAUGAUAAUGACAGUACCGGGAGAAUAAGCUCCGGCUAACUCCGUG
This 433-nucleotide ribosomal RNA is filed under the name uncultured bacterium. RNAcentral's name for it is "partial 16S ribosomal RNA". It matches the Rfam family "Bacterial small subunit ribosomal RNA", at positions 29 to 507 of the family's 1533-position model. The record is from RNAcentral.